AUGUAGGAGUUUGGAAUCUAUUUUUAUUUCAGAAACUUCUUCUUGUAGCUCAUCGACCCUCCGAUCUUUUGUUGUCAGUGAUUGCAAGGAACUUAGAUCACUACCUCAACGGAUGGACACACUCACACGAUCUUUUGUUGUCAGUGAUUGCAAGGAACUUAGAUCACUACCUCAACGGAUGGACACACUCACCGCUCUUGAAUCGAUAACUCUAUGCAUUCUUCCAAAUUUGAAUUUAUCAUUAUGUGAAGGAGUUUUCCUACCUCCGAAUUUACAAUCA
This 280-nucleotide long non-coding RNA is filed under the name Lathyrus oleraceus (garden pea). Its description in RNAcentral is "Pisum sativum (pea) long non-coding RNA (PSAT_LNC021637)". The record is from RNAcentral. Lineage: Eukaryota; Viridiplantae; Streptophyta; Magnoliopsida; Fabales; Fabaceae.